AUUGAACGCUGGCGGCAUGCUUUACACAUGCCAGUCGAACGGUAACAGGCCGCAAGGUGCUGACGAGUGGCGAACGGGUGAGUAAUGCAUCGGAACGUGCCCAGUCGUGGGGGAUAACUACUCGAAAGAGUAGCUAAUACCGCAUACGAUCUAUGGAUGAAAGCGGGGGACCGUAAGGCCUCGCGCGAUUGGGGCGGCCGAUGUCAGAUUAGGUAGUUGGUGGGGUAAAGGCUCACCAAGCCAACGAUCUGUAGCUGGUCUGAGAGGACGACCAGCCACACUGGGACUGAGACACGGCCCAGACUCCUACGGGAGGCAGCAGUGGGGAAUUUUGGACAAUGGGCGCAAGCCUGAUCCAGCAAUGCCGCGUGCAGGAAGAAGGCCUUCGGGUUGUAAACUGCUUUUGUACGGAACGAAACGGCUCUGGUUAAUACCCGGGGCUAAUGACGGUACCGUAAGAAUAAGCACCGGCUAACUACGUG
This 482-nucleotide ribosomal RNA is filed under the name uncultured bacterium. RNAcentral's name for it is "partial 16S ribosomal RNA". It matches the Rfam family "Bacterial small subunit ribosomal RNA", at positions 30 to 507 of the family's 1533-position model. The record is from RNAcentral.